Molecule: long non-coding RNA, 517 nt
Organism: Manduca sexta (tobacco hornworm)
Lineage: Eukaryota; Metazoa; Arthropoda; Insecta; Lepidoptera; Sphingidae
Exons: 2
Source: RefSeq, a predicted model, not a curated record
GUUUUCUACAAUGUUUAGCUUUUAUUCUAGAUGUGGUUUUAGGAAAUAGUACUUAAACAUAAUAUUGUGCGGUGUGAUGAUGAAUUACGCAAGCCAUUGAGUAAAUAUAUUUUGUCUAUAGAUAACGUUGCAGUGACAAAACUUCUUGGUAAUGUAAAUGCACUACUCGAGACGCUCGGCCGCGUACCUCUGCGAGGUUAGUUAUAGAGGAGGAUAGUCGCUGCAGGGAACUCCUCCGCUGUGUGGUGACUAGCUUGCGAACUACAUUAAUCGGUCGCCUCAGCGCUAGCAUCGUCUGUGGUGCGAAGAAUGACUCAGAAGGUGUCACGUCCCCACUAUCCUCCUGAAUCGACGGAACCUUUAAACCAAAAUACUUUUCUAGGAACACAAUACGUAUAUAAGCUUUGUUAUUUUGAUGUGCUUGUUACAAGUGCUGCCUAAGAUACCGUAUUGUUUGUUGUUUGAUAACAGGUAUUUUGUACGCAAUAUUAAAUAAAAUAAUGAUUUACGAGUUGUA